GGGGAAUAUUGCACAAUGGAGGAAACUCUGAUGCAGCGACGCCGCGUGAGUGAAGAAGGUUUUCGGAUCGUAAAACUCUGUCCUUGGUGAAGAUAGUGACGGUAGCCAAGGAGGAAGCCCCGGCUAACUACGUGCCAGCAGCCGCGGUAAUACGUAGGGGGCGAGCGUUGUCCGGAUUUACUGGGCGUAAAGGGUGAGUAGGCGGUUAUGUAAGUCAGAUGUAAAAGGCAUAGGCUCAACUUAUGUAAGCAUUUGAAACUGCAUGACUUGAGUGCAGGAGAGGUAAGCGGAAUUCCUAGUGUAGCGGUGAAAUGCGUAGAUAUUAGGAGGAACACCAGUGGCGAAGGCGGCUUACUGGACUGUAACUGACGCUGAGACACGAAAGCGUGGGUAGCAAAC
RNAcentral lists this ribosomal RNA (399 nucleotides) under uncultured bacterium. Its description in RNAcentral is "bacterial SSU rRNA". It matches the Rfam family "Bacterial small subunit ribosomal RNA", at positions 356 to 773 of the family's 1533-position model. The record is from RNAcentral.